ACUCCUACGGGAGGCAGCAGUGGGGAAUAUUGCACAAUGGGCGCAAGCCUGAUGCAGCCAUGCCGCGUGUGUGAAGAAGGCCUUCGGGUUGUAAAGCACUUUCAGUUGUGAGGAAGGUGGUGUCGUUAAUAGCGGCAUCAUUUGACGUUAGCAACAGAAGAAGCACCGGCUAACUCCGUGCCAGCAGCCGCGGUAAUACGGAGGGUGCGAGCGUUAAUCGGAAUUACUGGGCGUAAAGCGCAUGCAGGUGGUUUGUUAAGUCAGAUGUGAAAGCCCGGGGCUCAACCUCGGAACUGCAUUUGAAACUGGCAGACUAGAGUACUGUAGAGGGGGUAGAAUUUCAGGUGUAGCGGUGAAAUGCGUAGAGAUCUGAAGGAAUACCGGUGGCGAAGGC
RNAcentral lists this ribosomal RNA (394 nucleotides) under uncultured bacterium. RNAcentral describes it as "bacterial SSU rRNA". It matches the Rfam family "Bacterial small subunit ribosomal RNA", at positions 335 to 722 of the family's 1533-position model. The record is from RNAcentral.